Molecule: ribosomal RNA, 440 nt
Filed under: uncultured bacterium
Lineage: Bacteria
Description: partial 16S ribosomal RNA
Rfam family: Bacterial small subunit ribosomal RNA
Source: RNAcentral
CCUACGGGCGGCUGCAGUGGGGAAUAUUGCACAAUGGGGGAAACCCUGAUGCAGCAACGCCGCGUGAGUGAAGAAGUAUUUCGGUAUGUAAAGCUCUAUCAGCAGGGAAGAAAAUGACAGUACCUGACUAAGAAGCCCCGGCUAACUACGUGCCAGCAGCCGCGGUAAUACGUAGGGGGCAAGCGUUAUCCGGAUUUACUGGGUGGAAAGGGAGCGUAGACGGCUGCGCAAGUCAGAAGUGAAAGCCCGGGGCUCAACCGCGGGACUGCUUUUGAAACUGGGUAGCUAGAGUGCAGGAGAGGUAAGUGGAAUUCCUAGUGUAGCGGUGAAAUGCGUAGAUAUUAGGAGGAACACCGGUGGCGAAGGCGGCUUACUGGACUGUAACUGACGUUGAGGCUCGAAAGCGUGGGGAGCAAACAGGAUUAGAUACCCUUGUAGUC